RNAcentral lists this unclassified non-coding RNA (307 nucleotides) under Bombus terrestris (buff-tailed bumblebee). Its description in RNAcentral is "misc RNA ENSBTSG00005031574.1". The record is from RNAcentral. Lineage: Eukaryota; Metazoa; Arthropoda; Insecta; Hymenoptera; Apidae.
AUCAAAAACAUCAACGUUCUUCAGUUCUAAAAAGUAACGGGAGGUUCCUUUAUUGCGUCACGGAACGAGACUUUUGUCGCUGGAAGUACAAGUAGAGAGUAAUUCCGGUUUUAACGUCUUACAUUACGCGCAACGACCCAGCAAUUACGAAGAGAGCAAUUUUUCCGAGCUCCAAAUGAAUCUCUGCUACCUUUGCGGUUCGCGAACGUUAGACGUAUUAAGAAUUCUGACGAUGGAGGAAACUCUUCAUUAUCGGCAAUUAAAUAAUGUAGAAUUUUCAAUAUGGAACUUACUCCUACCUUAAUAU